Molecule: long non-coding RNA, 419 nt
Filed under: Homo sapiens (human)
Lineage: Eukaryota; Metazoa; Chordata; Mammalia; Primates; Hominidae
Description: HSALNT0029243
Source: RNAcentral
AGCAUCUAGUUUUAUACGUGGAAAAGGAAUUCGAAAGGAUAGGCACAUGCAGCUGCUUCUUGCCACAGACUAUAUUAUGAAAUGCUCAAAUAAUUGGGAAUUUUUUCACGUUUCCUUACCUAUUUCCUUCAUAAAGCAGACCAACAAUCAUCGUCCUCAAACUUAACAAUUUACUCAUCACAGUAAAACAUGCUGGGAGAACUGCCAAGCUAUUUGGUACCCUGGGCAAUGGGGGCAGGCCCCGAGGCAAACAUCUUCAUCACGAACACGUGCAGGGCAUUCAGCAGGUGGGCAGAAAGCCAGGCAGUCUGCUAUCCCAGAACAUUCUCUUCUUCAGAAAAGACAAAGUUGUGCUGUCAAAGCUAAGACCGUUCCUUAUCAGAAAAAUUCUAAGCGUCUGUUUGAAAUUUAUACGUGAA